Molecule: transfer RNA, 72 nt
Filed under: Camelus bactrianus (Bactrian camel)
Lineage: Eukaryota; Metazoa; Chordata; Mammalia; Artiodactyla; Camelidae
Also listed under: 2 other names
Rfam family: tRNA
About the family: Transfer RNA (tRNA) molecules are approximately 80 nucleotides in length. Their secondary structure includes four short double-helical elements and three loops (D, anti-codon, and T loops).
Source: Rfam by way of RNAcentral
CGGGGUAGAGUUCAGUGGGAGAGCACGUGCUUAGCAUGCAUGAGGUCCUGGGUUCAAUCCCCAGUACUUUCA